GGGGAAUUUUGGACAAUGGGCGCAAGCCUGAUCCAGCCAUUCCGCGUGAGUGAAGAAGGCCUUCGGGUUGUAAAGCACUUUCGGACGGAACGAAAUCGCGCGGGUGAAUAUCCCGCGUGGAUGACGGUACCGUAAGAAGAAGCACCGGCUAACUACGUGCCAGCAGCCGCGGUAAUACGUAGGGUGCGAGCGUUAAUCGGAAUUACUGGGCGUAAAGUGUGCGCAGGCGGCGCCGCAUGUCGAGUGUGAAAGCCCCGGGCUUAACUUGGGAAUUGCGCUCGAAACUACGGUGCUGGAGUGUGGCAGAGGAAGGUGGAAUUCCACGUGUAGCGGUGAAAUGCGUAGAGAUGUGGAGGAACACCGAUGGCGAAGGCAGCCUUCUGGGCCAACACUGACGCUCAUGCACGAAAGCGUGGGGAGCAAA
Molecule: ribosomal RNA, 424 nt
Filed under: uncultured bacterium
Lineage: Bacteria
Description: bacterial SSU rRNA
Rfam family: Bacterial small subunit ribosomal RNA
Source: RNAcentral